RNAcentral lists this ribosomal RNA (531 nucleotides) under Triticum aestivum (bread wheat). Its description in RNAcentral is "partial small subunit ribosomal RNA". The record is from RNAcentral. Lineage: Eukaryota; Viridiplantae; Streptophyta; Magnoliopsida; Poales; Poaceae.
AUGUCGCCGGCACCUGACCUAGCUGCUGCUCUGCUCCCUACACAACUCGAGAAGAAGAAGAGGAAGGAAAGCAGCCGCGUUGGAUCAAGCGCACCGCAGCAUACGUGCCACGCAAGGGUUGCCGGAGGAGAGAGGAUGGGGCGCGGGAGGGUGGAGAUCAAGCGGAUCGCCAACGACGUCUCGCGGCGGGCCACCUUCGGCAAGCGCAGCGCCGGGCUGCUCAAGAAGGCGCGGGAGCUCGCCGUGCUCUGCGACGUCGACCUCGGCGUCCUCGUCUUCGACGGCGCCGGCGCCGGCAGGCAGCUCGACUACUGCAGCCCCAACACCAGUUGGAGUGACUUAAUCGAGCGCUACGAGAGCAUAAAUCAUGGUGAAUAUCAGAAACUGUUGGCGGAUAUCGCAACGUUGAGGCAUGAGCGUGACCACCUGGAGGCCAGCGUGAGGAGGCAGGCCGGAGAAGACCUGCCCUCCGGCGCAACCGCGGCAGAGCUCCGCGAUCUGGAGCACAAGCUAGAGUGUGCACUGGGAUAA